GGAACAGAUUCCGGUCAUCUAGUGGCAUUAGCUAGGCUAAUCCCCACUGUUGCAAGCUCUAGUCGCCCACUGGCGAGGUGAUGGUUGCAGCGACGAUGCUAUCAGUGAAGUUGUCGAAGUUGUUUUGGGCCUGAGGCUCGUCAGAGGUUGCGGGUGUCCUCGGUCAUAGGUUUGAGCACCUCACUGUCGUGUCGAAUAUCUCUAGUCACAUGUGGUCUCAUUGUCUGGGUUGGACCUCGCACUCGUCCACCUUAGUGGCAGCGGUCGGAGAUUCUGACCGGUAUGAAUGCUGCCUUGGUGUUUACCAAUGCUCUGCCCUGUCUCCUUGUCAGCAUAAUCUUCUAUUGAUGGAGACUGAUCCCCUCGUCUUCUCAAAUUGAAUUAGUAGUUAUCUUAGAGGGAGAUUAGAUCAUUCCCAAUGUUGCUGCCAUUGUAGAUUCCACUAGCUAUGGCCGUAAAACCUCAAAGAUCUCUUUGGCUCUAAAGAGAGGUUUAUCUAUCUGAAUGAAAGAAUGGAUGGUGGAGAAUAAUUAGGUUGCGGGCCAAGUUUAGGCUUGGUUUCGAUCUAGCUUUGGGCUUGAUUUGGGGCUCAGGCUUCAGGCCUAGUCCAGGCUCGGACUUUUGGUCGGGCUCGAGCGAGCCAAGUAUUAACCAAGCCUAGCCCAAAAUUUCUUCAGGUCCUAUUUUUAGGCCCAAGUCUGACCCGAACUACCUCAGACUUAGCCCGCGGUUCGACUCAAAGCCGGCCCAACUCGACAAGCCUCAUGCCACCCUAGGCCCACUUCAAUCCCUAAGGACAUAUAUAGAGAUGCUAAAGGACUAUGCUUAGCAUAAGGCCAUUUCACUUGGAAGUUUGAUAGUCUUAAAUAUGUGAUUUGCUCCUUCAUACAUGUCCUAAUGCUAGUUAUAUUGAUAGAACCAUGUGUAGGUUGUUUUUCCUUAAUUAGACACUAUUUUUUGUAACUGUCUUUAUGAAAACAAUUUUUUUAUAAAAUGUAAAUUUAUUUUUUCCAUAUGCUUUAUAAGAUAGUGAAUCGAAUUUUAGAAAACAAGCUAUCAUAAAGCCCUAAAAUUGGUUUUAUGAGAUACCAUAAGGGUCCAUGUUCUUCUUAAGAUUGGUUUCUUAUGUUCUAAAUUGCCUUGUUAAUAAUUAAAUCACCAUAAUUGAUCAUGUUCUCAUCUAAAAAAGUUCAAAUCUCUCUUGACCUCCCCCUCCUCCUCUACAAGUUUCCUCCAUGCCAUUUUCUCCUCUUCUGCAUCCACCUCCUCUCCUUCACUUCCUCCAGGCAUUCCCUCUUGUUUGAUCAUCUAGUCUAUCUACUUGUCCUUUUCCUUUCCCACUACCUCCCCUCUACUCCCCAAUUCCUUCGCUUCUUAAAAGAAAUGAUGACAUCUCUUAUCAACAUUUGGUGGACUUCGUUGAAGUGCUUUUCUAUAGUCGGAGUAUAUGGGCAUGCAACGCAGCAUCUAAACCUUG
RNAcentral lists this long non-coding RNA (1477 nucleotides) under Phoenix dactylifera (date palm). RNAcentral's name for it is "long non-coding RNA (PDAC_LNC014582)". The record is from RNAcentral. Lineage: Eukaryota; Viridiplantae; Streptophyta; Magnoliopsida; Arecales; Arecaceae.